UAACCUGCCUUGGAGUGGGGAAUAACAGUUGGAAACAACUGCUAAUACCGCAUGAUGCAGUUGGGUCGCAUGGCUCUGACUGCCAAAGAUUUAUCGCUCUGAGAUGGACUCGCGUCUGAUUAGCUAGUUGGUGAGGUAACGGCUCACCAAGGCGACGAUCAGUAGCCGGACUGAGAGGUUGGCCGGCCACAUUGGGACUGAGACACGGCCCAGACUCCUACGGAAGGCAGCAG
This 233-nucleotide ribosomal RNA is filed under the name uncultured bacterium. RNAcentral's name for it is "partial 16S ribosomal RNA". It matches the Rfam family "Bacterial small subunit ribosomal RNA", at positions 122 to 354 of the family's 1533-position model. The record is from RNAcentral.